Felis catus (domestic cat) is the source of this 1514-nucleotide long non-coding RNA. RefSeq lists it as uncharacterized. The transcript has 2 exons. Lineage: Eukaryota; Metazoa; Chordata; Mammalia; Carnivora; Felidae. The record is from RefSeq and is a predicted model, not a curated record.
GGUCGGCUCUGCAGGGACAAGAGUUGUAUGUAUCUGAAACCUAGGCAUGAUCUCUCCUUUGACCUGCAUGACCGUAGUGAGGGGCUGUGUGACUGGGGAGAAAGUGAAAUCAGGGAAGGCGGCCUGGUACAGUUAUCUGCGUCCCUAUCGAUCUGCAGGUUUGGAUCGCUGCCUGGCCUCAUCAGCGAGUGACAUCAGCCCGGCCGGGCAUCUCGUCUCCACCUGUGAACCCGGAAAGCACUUCCGAGGGCAAUGAGUGCCAGCUCGCAAAGCCUCCGCACCCGCCUUCCCCACCCCCGAUAAACCGUAUACUUGCAAAGAUGCAGAAGCCUUGCUCCUUCGAAGGAUGUGUCUUGAUAGCUUUUCCAUGUAAUGCAAAGAAAAUAAAGGAGACAAUGAAAAGCCUCCCGUAUACGUAUUUCCCCCAUGGAACAUUUUGGUGCUAAUCUGACAGCAGGGGAGUGUACUGAUCCUCCCUUAGAGAAGUUUCCAGCUCUAAUGACAUGGAACAUACAUGCUUGCAUGAGCACAUUUUGUCUGCAUUUACACCAAGCUCUGAACAGGAUGGAGAGCAGAAAUCCUCACUGGAAGAGGCGAGUGCCUCUGAAAUUCACCCACCUCUGGCCCGUCUUUGAGUCCUUCGGAUUGACUCCUAUUUGAAAAAGGGAAAUGUAAUUUUCAAUCCAGAUCAAAGGUAGUAAAUAAGUAUUAGACGUUUUGGUCAAAUCCUAAGUAAUUUUGUGAAAUUGCACCCACUUUAAAAUAUUGAGUAAUGGUUUUCAAGCCUGAAGAGAGUCCAUUUUUAGACUUAAAAAAAACUUUGGUCAAAGCCUUAGGGAAAAAAAGCGUUAAGUUUCCAUAUUUUCAAAGUGGGUCAGCCAUGGUUUUCGCGUUUGUUUGUUUGUUGCUGCUGAAAUUCACAAGGCUUCUGGGAUCAGCCAUGUUGAAUAAAUAAAGAUGAGGCAAACGAAAUGUGAUCUGAGAUCUUGUCCGAACGAUCUGACGUUCUUCCAGAAGAAGAGCCUCUAUCACCCUGAAGUCGCUUCUACCCCUUUAAAGUCCAGCUCAAAUUUUACCUACCUGGAAAUCAGUUCUAAAUACAUAUCCUGGACCCUUGAAGUGAAAUAUCCACCUUGUCCACCGUUAUCUCCUACGUUCUCAGACAGGAUUAUAUUUGUUUGUCCUUAAUCGUCCUUGGGGUUGGAUGACUCUCGGCAAUGUUUUUUUCUCAAACGUAUACGUCACCCACUGUUUCUAGAAUGUGAUCUCAGAGAGCAGCCUGGGUCUCCCCGGGGCAUCCAGAACAGGACUCUAUCCCCAGCUGCCCCACACGGUUCUUGUCCACCUCUCUCGCUGCGUGUUUGUGCUAGUCACGGAAAUACGUGUACUGUUUGAUCGGCUGUGGUAGAAACGCGACUAAACAUGGCGUGAAAAUUUUAUGCUCGGAGAAAAAUAUUAGUCUUACUGAACAUUCCUCUUCCGGAACCAAUUAAUAAAUGCAGCCGUAUCAGUGA